RNAcentral lists this ribosomal RNA (446 nucleotides) under uncultured bacterium. Its description in RNAcentral is "partial 16S ribosomal RNA". It matches the Rfam family "Bacterial small subunit ribosomal RNA", at positions 338 to 795 of the family's 1533-position model. The record is from RNAcentral.
CCUACGGGUGGCAGCAGUCGAGAAUCAUUCACAAUGGGGGAAACCCUGAUGGUGCGACGCCGCGUGGGGGAAUGAAGGUCUUCGGAUUGUAAACCCCUGUCAUGUGGGAGCAAAUUAAAAAGAUAGUACCACAAGAGGAAGAGACGGCUAACUCUGUGCCAGCAGCCGCGGUAAUACAGAGGUCUCAAGCGUUGUUCGGAAUCACUGGGCGUAAAGCGUGCGUAGGCUGUUUCGUAAGUCGUGUGUGAAAGGCGGGGGCUCAACCCGCGGACGGCACAUGAUACUGCGAGACUAGAGUAAUGGAGGGGGAAGCGGAAUUCUCGGUGUAGCAGUGAAAUGCGUAGAUAUCGAGAGGAACACUCGUGGCGAAGGCGGGUUCCUGGACAUUAACUGACGUUGAGGCACGAAGGCCAGGGGAGCGAAAGGGAUUAGAUACCCUUGUAGUC